Molecule: long non-coding RNA, 859 nt
Filed under: Ursus maritimus (polar bear)
Lineage: Eukaryota; Metazoa; Chordata; Mammalia; Carnivora; Ursidae
Description: lncRNA (ENSUMAG00000017632.1)
Source: RNAcentral
AUGCACAAUUUGAUGUCCUUAAAGUUAAGAUUUCAGUGUAUAGACACUUUAAGGUGGAAUCAUUUUUGGAUGCCGUUUGUCCUGGUUUUCAUUUUGGAUCUCUUCUCCUGCACCUCCCCUCCCCCCACCCUUGCAGGAGCACCGUGCGGCAAGUCACCAGGGUGGUCCGUCCAAGCUGCGGAUUUGUGUGUCGUCCUUGUAAGGCAGUCUCCUCCUCCGCGGCCCCUACAGGGAAGUGCCUCACAUAUCAGCACACCGGAGCAAAAUGAAAGAAUUUAUUCUGAGGCCUCAAAAGUAGAGCUGCUACAGACCCUGAGCAAGAAGCAGUGGACUUCUGCCUGCACGGAUGGUCUUGAAACACGAACGGUUGUGGAAUAUCCCAAUGCCAGUACACUGACUUCAUUCCUGAAUUUAAUUACUGACUCUUUCUUUUAACUUCUAAUAUGAUGUUGGCUAUUGGUUUAUGGCAGAUAUCUUUUAUUGUGGCAAAAAAGUAGCAUUCUAUUCCGAUUUUCAAUACCUCUUCCCACAGAAUAUUUUUUUAAAUGUCUUUUCAGCGUUUUUAAUAAUGAUAACUUUCUCUUUUGAACCAGUGAUGCUGUGAAUGGCAUAACGUAAUCUUUGAUUCAUGUCCAUGUGUGGAAACUUUGAAAUUACUUGUCUCUCAAAUUAUUUAACUCAGGUCCUUUUCCUGUUGUAUUACAAAAGCUCACACCCCUGCCUCUGCUCAACACACAAUAUUUUUCUACAGUAAUUUUUCUGAUCAAGAUUUUUACUGCUCAAAUUAAUAUUCAAGACAUUAACUUUUCUAGGAUAGCUGCCAUUUCCAUAUUUAAAACUAUAUUAACGUAGAGCCAAA